GGCUCAGAAUCAACGCUGGCGGCGCGCCUAACACAUGCAAGUCGAACGAGAAAGCGGGGGCAACCUCGCAAGUAAAGUGGCGUACGGGUGAGUAACACGUGGGUAAUCUACCCUUUAGUGGGGAAUAACGCUGGGAAACCGGCGCUAAUACCGCAUAAGCUCGAGAGAGGAAAGCAGCAAUGCGCUGAAGGAGGAGCCCGCGGCCGAUUAGCCAGUUGGUAGGGUAAUGGCCUACCAAAGCAAAGAUCGGUAGCCGGCCUGAGAGGGCACACGGCCACACUGGCACUGAAACACGGGCCAGACUCCUACGGGAGGCAGCAGUGGGGAAUCUUGCACAAUGGGGGAAACCCUGAUGCAGCGACGCCGCGUGAGCGAUGAAGCCCUUCGGGGUGUAAAGCUCUUUCGGCAGGGACGAUUAUGACGGUACCUGCAGAAGCAGCUGCGGCUAACUACGUGCCAGCAGCCGCGGUAAUACGUAGGCAGCAAGCGUUGUUCGGAGUUACUGGGCGUAAAGGGUGUGUAGGCGGUCUUCUAAGUUUGGUGUGAAAUCUCCCGGCUUAACCGGGAGGGUGCGCCGAAAACUGGAAGGCUAGAGUGCGGGAAGGGAGAGUAGAAUUCCUGGUGUAGCGGUGAAAUGCGUAGAUAUCAGGAGGAAUACCGGUGGUGCAGACGGCUCUCUGGACCGCAACUGACGCUGAAACACGAAAGCGUGGGUAGCAAACAGGAUUAGAUACCCUGGUAGUCCACGCCCUAAACGAUGCAUAUUUGGUGUGGGUCAUUCAGUUGAUCCGUGCCGGAGCUAACGCGUUAAAUAUGCCGCCUGGGGAGUACAGUCGCAAGGCUGAAACUCAAAU
RNAcentral lists this ribosomal RNA (854 nucleotides) under uncultured bacterium. RNAcentral's name for it is "bacterial SSU rRNA". It matches the Rfam family "Bacterial small subunit ribosomal RNA", at positions 21 to 906 of the family's 1533-position model. The record is from RNAcentral.